RNAcentral lists this ribosomal RNA (253 nucleotides) under uncultured bacterium. RNAcentral's name for it is "partial 16S ribosomal RNA". It matches the Rfam family "Bacterial small subunit ribosomal RNA", at positions 524 to 776 of the family's 1533-position model. The record is from RNAcentral.
UACGGGGGGGGCAAGCGUUGUUCGGAAUUACUGGGCGUAAAGGGUUCGUAGGUGGCCAACUAAGUCAGACGUGAAAUCCCUCAGCUUAACUGGGGAACUGCGUCUGAUACUGGAUGGCUUGAGUGCAGGAGAGGAACGCGGAAUUCCAGGUGUAGCGGUGAAAUGCGUAGAUAUGACAUAGAACACCAAUUGCGAAGGCAGCUUACUACAUAGUUAUUGACACUGAGGCACGAAAGCGUGGGGAUCAAACAGG